Molecule: ribosomal RNA, 455 nt
Filed under: uncultured bacterium
Lineage: Bacteria
Description: bacterial SSU rRNA
Rfam family: Bacterial small subunit ribosomal RNA
Source: RNAcentral
GGUGAACGCUGGCGGCGUGCCUAGCACAUGCAAGUCGAGCGGUGCAGUUUGAAGCUUCGGUGGAAAGCUGCAUAGCGGCGGACGGGUGAGGAAACGUAGGAACGUGCCCCUUGGAGUUGGAUAGCCACGGGAAACUGUGGGUAAACCGACAUAGACUCGAGAGAGUAAAGGCCGAAAGGCGCCAAGGGAGCGGCCUGCGGCCCAUCAGGUAGUUGGUAGUGUAAAGGACUACCAAGCCGACGACGGGUAGCCGGUCUGAGAGGAUGGCCGGCCACAAGGGCACUGAGAGACGGGCCCUACUCCUACGGGAGGCAGCAGUGGGGGAUUUUGGACAAUGGGCGAAAGCCUGAUCCAGCGACGCCGCGUGGAGGACGAAGCCCUUCGGGGUGUAAACUCCUUUUCUCAGGGAAAAAAGGAUGAUGGUACCUGAGGAAUAAGCCCCGGCUAACUACGUG